CGAAUGCUGACAUAAGUAACGAUAAAGCGGGUGAAAAGCCCGCUCGCCGGAAGACCAAGGGUUCCUGUCCAACGUUAAUCGGGGCAGGGUGAGUCGACCCCUAAGGCGAGGCCGAAAGGCGUAGUCGAUGGGAAACAGGUUAAUAUUCCUGUACUUGGUGUUACUGCGAAGGGGGGACGGAGAAGGCUAUGUUGGCCGGGCGACGGUUGUCCCGGUUUAAGCGUGUAGGCUGGUUUUCCAGGCAAAUCCGGAAAAUCAAGGCUGAGGCGUGAUGACGAGGCACUACGGUGCUGAAGCAACAAAUGCC
This 307-nucleotide ribosomal RNA is filed under the name Escherichia coli. RNAcentral's name for it is "partial 23S ribosomal RNA". It matches the Rfam family "Bacterial large subunit ribosomal RNA", at positions 1291 to 1601 of the family's 2925-position model. The record is from RNAcentral. Lineage: Bacteria; Pseudomonadati; Pseudomonadota; Gammaproteobacteria; Enterobacterales; Enterobacteriaceae.